CCUACGGGCGGCAGCAGUGAGGAAUAUUGGUCAAUGGGCGUAAGCCUGAACCAGCCAAGUCGCGUGAAGGAUGACGGCCCUACGGGUUGUAAACUUCUUUUGUCGGGGAGCAAUUGAGUCCACGUGUGGGCUUAGCGAGAGUACCUGAAGAAAAAGCAUCGGCUAACUCCGUGCCAGCAGCCGCGGUAAUACGGGGGAUGCGAGCGUUAGCCGGAUUUAUGGGGUUUAAAGGGUGCGUAGGCGGAAUAUCAAGUCAGCGGUAAAAAUUCGGGGCUCAACCCCGUCGUGCCGUUGAAACUGAUGGUCUUGAGUGGGCGAGAAGUAUGCGGAAUGCGUGGUGUAGCGGUGAAAUGCAUAGAUAUCACGCAGAACUCCGAUUGCGAAGGCAGCAUACCGGCGCUCAACUGACGCUCAUGCACGAAAGCGUGGGUAUCGAACAGGAUUAGAUACCCGAGUAGUC
Molecule: ribosomal RNA, 460 nt
Filed under: uncultured bacterium
Lineage: Bacteria
Description: partial 16S ribosomal RNA
Rfam family: Bacterial small subunit ribosomal RNA
Source: RNAcentral